GACGAACGCUGGCGGCGUGCUUAACACAUGCAAGUCGAACGGAAAGGCCCUGCUUUUGUGGGGUGCUCGAGCGGCGAACGGGUGAUUAACACGUGAGUAACCUGCCCUUGACUUUGGGAUAACUUCAGGAAACUGGGGCUAAUACCGGAUAGGAGCUCCUGCUGCAUGGUGGGGGUUGGAAAGUUUCGGCGGUUGGGGAUGGACUCGCGGCUUAUCAGCUUGUUGGUGGGGUAGUGGCUUACCAAGGCUUUGACGGGUAGCCGGCCUGAGAGGGUGACCGGCCACAUUGGGACUGAGAUACGGCCCAGACUCGUACGGGAGGCAGCAGUGGGGAAUAUUGCACAAUGGGCGGAAGCCUGAUGCAGCAACGCCGCGUGCGGGAUGACGGCCUUCGGGUUGUAAACCGCUUUAGCCUGUGACGAAGCGUGAGUGACGGUAAUGGGUAAAGAAGCACCGGCUAACUACGUG
This 468-nucleotide ribosomal RNA is filed under the name uncultured bacterium. RNAcentral describes it as "partial 16S ribosomal RNA". It matches the Rfam family "Bacterial small subunit ribosomal RNA", at positions 28 to 507 of the family's 1533-position model. The record is from RNAcentral.